Molecule: ribosomal RNA, 506 nt
Filed under: Escherichia coli
Lineage: Bacteria; Pseudomonadati; Pseudomonadota; Gammaproteobacteria; Enterobacterales; Enterobacteriaceae
Description: partial 23S ribosomal RNA
Rfam family: Bacterial large subunit ribosomal RNA
Source: RNAcentral
UGGAGCCGACCUUGAAAUACCACCCUUUAAUGUUUGAUGUUCUAACGUUGACCCGUGAUCCGGGUUGCGGACAGUGUCUGGUGGGUAGUUUGACUGGGGCGGUCUCCUCCUAAAGAGUAACGGAGGAGCACGAAGGUUGGCUAAUCCUGGUCGGACAUCAGGAGGUUAGUGCAAUGGCAUAAGCCAGCUUGACUGCGAGCGUGACGGCGCGAGCAGGUGCGAAAGCAGGUCAUAGUGAUCCGGUGGUUCUGAAUGGAAGGGCCAUCGCUCAACGGAUAAAAGGUACUCCGGGGAUAACAGGCUGAUACCGCCCAAGAGUUCAUAUCGACGGCGGUGUUUGGCACCUCGAUGUCGGCUCAUCACAUCCUGGGGCUGAAGUAGGUCCCAAGGGUAUGGCUGUUCGCCAUUUAAAGUGGUACGCGAGCUGGGUUUAGAACGUCGUGAGACAGUUCGGUCCCUAUCUGCCGUGGGCGCUGGAGAACUGAGGGGGGCUGCUCCUAGUACGA